Molecule: long non-coding RNA, 1438 nt
Organism: Crotalus tigris (Tiger rattlesnake)
Lineage: Eukaryota; Metazoa; Chordata; Lepidosauria; Squamata; Viperidae
Exons: 3
Source: RefSeq, a predicted model, not a curated record
AUCGGAGCGAGGGCUGCGACUGGCGGAGGAGGCUGGCGAGGGGGUUAAUGCUCUCCGCCAGGCAGGGAAGGUUAGCAGAGGGACCAAUGUGAUUAAGGCGGUAGGAGAGGAAAGAUGCGCCUGCUGCCUGGCUGCGGUGGCUGAAGGGUGGUGCGCGGGGAGCUGCCUGCCUGCUUGCCGCAGAGAAAGGGCCGGAUAUGACCAGGGACGGUCCUCUGCCUGCGCUGGAGGGCGGCUUCACCUGUGGACCUGCUCCUGCCAACCUGCCAGCGUGUACCUGGGCCAGGAAGGAGGACCCACCUGAGGUGCCCGCGGCCGCCUCCCUUUCGCCCCGAGCUGCAUCUCCGUGCCAGAGAAAGGCAGAGUCCGCGGCGAAGAGGCGCUGAAGGCGAGGCGGGCAGCGCGUCGGCUGGAAGGGCGCCGAGGCAGGAGCAGGGCUGGUCCCCUCUUGGUUGGCUGCGGGAGCCUUGCGGGAGAGGAAGCGGGCGGCUAGCGGAGCCCAGACGUGGCUGGGAGGCGAGCAAGGCGCAGGGCAUGUGGAGGCUGGCCGCCCUCUUGUUCCAGAGCAUCUUGAAUGAUGCCAAUUUAUAAAGCCGAAAUAAAGAUAGUUUGCAAGGUGAAAAAGUUACUGCCACAGAGAUAAAAUGAUUUACUGGAUUCCUAUAAUAAGCAGGAGUUUGGAUUAGAUGACCUAUGUGAUCCUCCGCUCACUCAUGCAUUUUAAGAUGGUAUGCUAAGAUCCCGAAAAACAGGGAUGUCCCAAGUUUCCUUUUUUCUUUUUUGUUUGUAUAGUUUGCGUGAGAUGCAGCUGAAUAUGUCACACAAAGCUGUCAGAGAGAAUGUAGGAUAAUUUACAAAAAAUGGGCUGGACAAGGAGUGAUGUUGAUGGAUAAAAGAUUGAUAAAACCUAAAUAACACAGAAAUCUUGAAUAAGCAGGAUGAAAACUUGAAUGUUUUCCUUUACCAAUGUAGUAUCUUUAUCACAAUGUUCAAAAACUCUUCGCUUUUGCUAGGGAGAGGGGGGAAAAGACUCAAUUGCUACCUUUCCCAUGUCACCUCCUUUUUAACAGCAGCAUACAGUACUAUGUCACUUAAGCAGAGAAAAUUGCCUGACGAUCUGAAACUUAGGGUGUCUGCUGCAAAGGGAGGUGCCCAGAAAUGUUUUUGCAUAGAAAUUCUAUAUCGAAGGCAAACUUAUACAGCAAUAAAAAACAGACACACCUUCCCUGAAAACGCCAUUCAGCAUAUUUUUCUCAUAUUCUUUUUUCAGAUUUGCUGCCUGCAUUGGAUCCUAGGCCUCUUAGCUUGUAAUUUUAAAAAUGCUUAGGCAGUUUGUAUUGCUGGAAACAUUUGAUAGGCUGAGAGAUGGUGCCUGGGAAUUUUUUCCCCUGAAGGCAUAGAAUGGAGCUUAGUAAAUUUUUGGUAAUUCAGGGAUGAG